AUUGAACGCUGGCGGCAUGCCUUACACAUGCAAGUCGAACGGCAGCGGGGGAGAAGCUUGCUUUUCCUGCCGGCGAGUGGCGAACGGGUGAGUAAUACAUCGGAACGUGCCCUGUAGUGGGGGAUAACUAGUCGAAAGAUUAGCUAAUACCGCAUACGACCUGAGGGUGAAAGUGGGGGACCGCAAGGCCUCAUGCUAUAGGAGCGGCCGAUGUCUGAUUAGCUAGUUGGUGGGGUAAAGGCCUACCAAGGCGACGAUCAGUAGCUGGUCUGAGAGGACGAUCAGCCACACUGGGACUGAGACACGGCCCAGACUCCUACGGGAGGCAGCAGUGGGGAAUUUUGGACAAUGGGCGAAGGCCUGAUCCAGCAAUGCCGCGUGUGUGAAGAAGGCCUUCGGGUUGUAAAGCACUUUUGUCCGGAAAGAAAUGGCUCUGGUUAAUACCUGGGGUCGAUGACGGUACCGGAAGAAUAAGGACCGGCUAACUACGUGCCAGCCGCCGUAAUAC
RNAcentral lists this ribosomal RNA (508 nucleotides) under uncultured bacterium. RNAcentral describes it as "partial 16S ribosomal RNA". It matches the Rfam family "Bacterial small subunit ribosomal RNA", at positions 30 to 526 of the family's 1533-position model. The record is from RNAcentral.